Long non-coding RNA from Canis lupus familiaris (dog), 604 nucleotides. RefSeq lists it as uncharacterized. The record is from RefSeq and is a predicted model, not a curated record. The transcript is spliced from 3 exons. NCBI's taxonomy places the organism in Eukaryota, Metazoa, Chordata, Mammalia, Carnivora, Canidae.
UUCAAGUUCCAGAGGCUUGGUCUGGGGGAGACAAACCACGCUGGGAUUCAGGGUACUCCUAUACUAUAUCUCUGUUACUCACCAGCUUAUAGAAGCCAUUUAUCCUCCAAAAUUGAGGGAUGAUAACUCCAUUAAUGCAAGAAAGUUAUCCUGUUUGCAUCCAAAGUCAAAUUUCUAAAGAGGAAAUAAAAGCACAAGCAAAACAAAACAACAAGGUCCUGCAUCCCUAGGACCUGAAACUGAGAGCCACAAUCAUCCAGCCCUGUGCCACUGGAGCUACUAUAGCACUAGAAUGGAGCCUGUUAGCUGUAGCCAGUCUAACAGACCACAAACAGUGCCUCAUCCCAUUCUCUUUGGGAGCAUCUACCUAACAGAGAGUGAAAGAAAGAGAAGGUGGAGAACAAGGCUGAUUCAAGGUCCCCAGAAGAAUUUUUAACAUGUUUUCUUUCUCUCACAUUUUUUAGAGAGAAAUCAGAAUAAAAUUAUAGGUAGCAUAUGAUGAAAACUUAUGGGCAAAGGAAGGAAGUUUUUAAAUAAGUGUUACUUUGGAAUAUAUCACCCAAUUAUGUUUGAAUGAUAUAAGCAUAUAAUUGAGUUACCUUUC